UACGUAGGAGGCAAGCGUUAUCCGGAUUUACUGGGCGUAAAGCGUGUGCAGGCGGUUUGGUAAGUUGGAUGUGAAAUCUCCUGGCUCAACCAGGAGGUGUCGUUCAAAACUGCCAGACUCGAGGACGGUAGAGGAGAGUGGAAUUCCCGGUGUAGUGGUGAAAUGCGUAGAUAUCGGGAGGAACACCUAUGGCGAAGGCAGCUCGCUGGGACGUUACUGACGCUGAGACGCGAAAGCGUGGGGAGCAAACAGG
RNAcentral lists this ribosomal RNA (253 nucleotides) under uncultured bacterium. RNAcentral describes it as "partial 16S ribosomal RNA". It matches the Rfam family "Bacterial small subunit ribosomal RNA", at positions 524 to 776 of the family's 1533-position model. The record is from RNAcentral.